This 253-nucleotide ribosomal RNA is filed under the name uncultured bacterium. Its description in RNAcentral is "partial 16S ribosomal RNA". It matches the Rfam family "Bacterial small subunit ribosomal RNA", at positions 524 to 776 of the family's 1533-position model. The record is from RNAcentral.
UACGAAGGGGGCGAGCGUUGUUCGGAAUUACUGGGCGUAAAGAGCGCGCAGGCGGUCGUUCAAGUCGCGUGUGAAAGCCCCCGGCUCAACUGGGGAGGGUCACGCGAUACUGAUCGACUCGAAGGCAGGAGAGGGAAGUGGAAUUCCCGGUGUAGUGGUGAAAUGCGUAGAUAUCGGGAGGAACACCAGUGGCGAAGGCGACUUCCUGGCCUGUUCUUGACGCUGAGGCGCGAAAGCUAGGGGAGCAAACGGG